Molecule: RNase P RNA, 440 nt
Filed under: marine eukaryotic metagenome
Description: Bacterial RNase P class A
Rfam family: Bacterial RNase P class A
About the family: Ribonuclease P (RNase P) is a ubiquitous endoribonuclease, found in archaea, bacteria and eukarya as well as chloroplasts and mitochondria. Its best characterised activity is the generation of mature 5'-ends of tRNAs by cleaving the 5'-leader elements of precursor-tRNAs.
Source: RNAcentral
GGCGACUGCUCGCGUCGGCCUCGGUCGAUUCGGGAGGAAAGUCCGAGCACGGUAGGAUACGGUGGUGGGUAACGCCCACCCGUCUCAACAAGCUCUUAGGAGUGCAGCUUGGGGCGAGGGAAAGUGCCACAGAGAAUGAACCGCCGAUGGCUUGGGCUUUGCCCAAGAACAGGUAAGGGUGAAAAGGUGCGGUAAGAGCGCACCGCUUGAUUGGUGACAAUCGAGGCUAGGUAAACCCCACCGCGUGCAAGCCCAAGCAGAGUCAUGUGUGAUCCGCACUUUUGGCUCGGGUAGGGUGCUGGGAGCAUGUGCUCCUCAUCGUGUUGGCAACAGCACGGGCAGAGAAAUAGUCGCUCACGCGAGCAGGUCUGAUCCACAGCCCCCGUCAAAAGGAAUGGGUCAGAAACCGAUCACGGGACAGAACUCGGCUUACCAGCUGC